AUACUCUGGUUUCUCUUCAGAUUGUAUAAAUCUUUUGCCUUUUACUAAAGAUUUCCAUGGAAAAGAACAGGUAUGAGGGGUUUUUUCAG
RNAcentral lists this small nuclear RNA (89 nucleotides) under Physeter macrocephalus (sperm whale). Its description in RNAcentral is "Physeter catodon (sperm whale) U5 spliceosomal RNA (ENSPCTG00005018330.1)". It matches the Rfam family "U5 spliceosomal RNA". Rfam says of the family: U5 RNA is a component of both types of known spliceosome. The precise function of this molecule is unknown, though it is known that the 5' loop is required for splice site selection and p220 binding, and that both the 3' stem-loop and the Sm site are important for Sm protein binding and cap methylation. Lineage: Eukaryota; Metazoa; Chordata; Mammalia; Artiodactyla; Physeteridae. The record is from Rfam by way of RNAcentral.